GAUGAACGCUAGCGGGAGGCCUAACACAUGCAAGCCGAGCGGUAGAGUUUCUUCGGAAACUUGAGAGCGGCGCACGGGUGCGUAACACGUGUGCAACCUACCUUUAUCUGGGGGAUAGCCUUUCGAAAGGAGGAUUAAUACCCCAUAAUAUAAUGAUUGGCAUCAAUUAUUAUUGAAAACUCCGGUGGAUAGAGAUGGGCACGCGCAAGAUUAGAUAGUUGGUGAGGUAACGGCUCACCAAGUCAAUGAUCUUUAGGGGUCCUGAGAGGGAGAUCCCCCACACUGGUACUGAGACACGGACCAGACUCCUACGGGAGGCAGCAGUGAGGAAUAUUGGACAAUGGGUGAGAGCCUGAUCCAGCCAUCCCGCGUGAAGGAGGACGGUCCUAUGGAUUGUAAACUUCUUUUGUACAGGGAUAAACCUACCCUCGUGAGGGUAGCUGAAGGUACUGUACGAAUAAGCACCGGCUAACUCCGUG
This 479-nucleotide ribosomal RNA is filed under the name uncultured bacterium. RNAcentral's name for it is "partial 16S ribosomal RNA". It matches the Rfam family "Bacterial small subunit ribosomal RNA", at positions 28 to 507 of the family's 1533-position model. The record is from RNAcentral.